GAAACAAAUGAAACCAAGGGUCAGGACAAA
RNAcentral lists this non-coding RNA (30 nucleotides) under Mus musculus (house mouse). The record is from RNAcentral. Lineage: Eukaryota; Metazoa; Chordata; Mammalia; Rodentia; Muridae.